AGUUAAAGAGCUACAAGCACAGCCUAAUGUCUUGAAAACAUUAUGAAAGAAGUUUAAAUCUUCUAUUAACUU
Molecule: transfer RNA, 72 nt
Filed under: Nasutitermitinae sp.
Lineage: Eukaryota; Metazoa; Arthropoda; Insecta; Blattodea; Termitidae
Description: tRNA-Ser
Source: RNAcentral